GAUGAACGCUGGCGGCGUGCUUAACACAUGCAAGUCGAGCGAAGCACCUUGACGGAUUUCUUCGGAAUGAAGUUUUGGUGACUGAGCGGCGACGGGUGAGUAACGCGUGGUAACCUGCCUCAUACAGGGGGAUAACAGUUGGAAACGGCUGCUAAUACCGCAUAAGCGCACAGUACCGCAUGGUACGGUGUGAAAAACUCCGGUGGUAUGAGAUGGACCCGCGUCUGAUUAGGUAGUUGGUGGGGUAACGGCCUACCAAGCCGACGAUCAGUAGCCGACCUGAGAGGGUGACCGGCCACAUUGGGACUGAGACACGGCCCAA
Molecule: ribosomal RNA, 322 nt
Filed under: uncultured bacterium
Lineage: Bacteria
Description: bacterial SSU rRNA
Rfam family: Bacterial small subunit ribosomal RNA
Source: RNAcentral